This 201-nucleotide unclassified non-coding RNA is filed under the name Hevea brasiliensis (rubber tree). The record is from RNAcentral. Lineage: Eukaryota; Viridiplantae; Streptophyta; Magnoliopsida; Malpighiales; Euphorbiaceae.
GGGCUUGAACCUCUUUGGCAGCUUUUGUAUCUUUUAUCAUAGUCAUUACAUUUGGGGCAUCCAUAACCUCUUUCAAACUAUGUUUGUAUCCCGAGGUUGUAUGGACAAGAAUUAUGCGUGACUUAUUUUCUAUUAUAGGUCUUAGUUGCUUCCUCUCGGCUUCCAACAACAGGUGACGAUGAAACUGAUCCUUGGUGAAUC